CUGCCCUCCAGCGCGGCUGGGUGUUGGGCGCUGUCCCCCCGGGGACAUGCCCCAAAGGCAGUGGCGACGCCGCGUCGAGUCCUCGAGCGUAUGGAGCUUUGUCACCUGCUCGGGAGGGAUUCGCCGGCCUCGGUCUUCCCCGAUGGGCCCCGUACAGGGCCGAUCUUUCC
RNAcentral lists this unclassified non-coding RNA (170 nucleotides) under Talaromyces hachijoensis. Its description in RNAcentral is "partial internal transcribed spacer 2". Lineage: Eukaryota; Fungi; Ascomycota; Eurotiomycetes; Eurotiales; Trichocomaceae. The record is from RNAcentral.